RNAcentral lists this ribosomal RNA (492 nucleotides) under uncultured bacterium. Its description in RNAcentral is "partial 16S ribosomal RNA". It matches the Rfam family "Bacterial small subunit ribosomal RNA", at positions 29 to 507 of the family's 1533-position model. The record is from RNAcentral.
CGUGCACGCUGGCGGUAGGCCUAACACAUGCAAGUCGAACGGCAGCACAGUAAGAGCUUGCUCUUACGGGUUGCGAGUGGCGGACGGGUGAGGAAUACAUCGGAAUCUACUUUUUCGUGGGGGAUAACGUAGGGAAACUUACGCUAAUACCGCAUACGACCUACGGGUGAAAGCAGGGGAUCUUCGGACCUUGCUCGAUUGAAUGAGCCGAUGUAGGAUUAGCUAGUUGGCGGGGUAAAGGCCCACCAAGGCGACGAUCCGUAGCUGGUCUGAGAGGAUGAUCAGCCACACUGUAACUGAGACACGGUCCAGACUCCUACGGGAGGCAGCAGUGGGGAAUAUUGGACAAUGGGCGCAAGCCUGAUCCAGCCAUACCGCGUGGGUGAAGAAGGCCUUCGGGUUGUAAAGCCCUUUUGUUGGGAAAGAAAAGCAGCAGGUUAAUACCCCGCUGUUCUGACGGUACCCAAAGAAUAAGCACCGGCUAACUUCGUG